This 24-nucleotide microRNA is filed under the name Caenorhabditis elegans. Its description in RNAcentral is "cel-miR-43-5p". Its record names the gene cel-miR-43-5p. Lineage: Eukaryota; Metazoa; Nematoda; Chromadorea; Rhabditida; Rhabditidae. The record is from miRBase by way of RNAcentral.
GACAUCAAGAAACUAGUGAUUAUG